ACGACGACCCCUCCCCUCCCUUCUCUCAAAACUUCGACCAUUAAGGCCUUUUCGGCCUCCGGCGCACCGCAAUCAUGGCCCUAGGCCGACGGCGAGGGAAAUGGGCUACUCGGCCCUCCCAUCGCAGCGUACCAAAGCUCGGCCAACAACCCAAAGGACCGAGGGCUUUAGAUCCCUCUUUAGAAACCGAUUCCGACGACAGUAAGAGGUCCUCCGACGACGGAGCCAUGGGUGAUUCAGGUAUAUUUCAUUUCCUUCUCCCCUUUUUUUGUUUUCGUAUAUACAAAAAUAAAAAUAAUAAUAACAAUAAUAAGAGAUCGAAAUCUAAAAGAAACUAAGAUGUAAUCACCUUGAAACUAGUUUCUCUGUUUUUAUUUUUGAAUCUCUAUUUCAAUCUGUUUUUUUGUUACAAAAGUUCCCCUUUUUACAAUCAGAUGAUGGAGGCUCUUAUAGCCUGUUUACAAUAUUUGCUACUGUCUUUUUUUUCCUUGCUUGCAGGUGUUGACACUGAUGGAGUAGGUGGCGUGGUAGGGUGGCCGACGUGACAGAAGGCCAGGGGUUAGGUGCGGCAGUGGCAUGGGCAAUGGCGGCUGAGGGCAGGUAGGCUAGGGCUUCAGUUUUCUGAAACCCUAGUUUGACUGGGUUCUAGGCCUGUUGGGCCUAUUGGGCCAACUGUAUUGGGUCGUUUGGGCUCUGCUGGUUGGGCUUGUUUUGUUUGGGUUAGGCUGGGCAAAUAUUGGGCUGUACAGUAAAAGUUUAAUUACUAAAGCG
Molecule: long non-coding RNA, 771 nt
Filed under: Gossypium barbadense (sea-island cotton)
Lineage: Eukaryota; Viridiplantae; Streptophyta; Magnoliopsida; Malvales; Malvaceae
Description: long non-coding RNA (GBAR_LNC016288)
Source: RNAcentral